CCUGGUGUCUAUGGCGAUGUGGAACCACUCCGAACCAUCUCGAACUCGGUUGUGAAACGCAUCUGCGGCGAAGAUAGUGAGCGGGUCGCUGCUCGUUAAACUAGCUCGAUGCCAGGU
Molecule: ribosomal RNA, 117 nt
Filed under: Synechococcales cyanobacterium RM1_1_8
Lineage: Bacteria; Bacillati; Cyanobacteriota; Cyanophyceae; Synechococcales
Source: RNAcentral